GGGCCCGCACAAGCGGUGGAGCAUGUGGCUUAAUUCGAUGCAACGCGAAGAACCUUACCUGGGCUCGAACGCUAUCUGACAGACCCUGAAAGGGGUCCUUCUUCGGACGGAUAGUGAGGUGCUGCAUGGCUGUCGUCAGCUCGUGUCGUGAGAUGUUGGUUAAGUCCCGCAACGAGCGCAACCCCUAUUACUAGUUACCAGCACGUUAUGGUGGGGACUCUAGUGAGACUGCCUGCGCAAGCAGUGAGGAAGGUGGGGACGACGUCAAGUCAUCAUGGCCCUUAUGCCCAGGGCUGCACACGUGCUACAAUGCUACGGACAAAGGGCAGCAAGUUCGCGAGGAC
RNAcentral lists this ribosomal RNA (344 nucleotides) under uncultured bacterium. Its description in RNAcentral is "bacterial SSU rRNA". It matches the Rfam family "Bacterial small subunit ribosomal RNA", at positions 917 to 1264 of the family's 1533-position model. The record is from RNAcentral.